RNAcentral lists this unclassified non-coding RNA (1722 nucleotides) under Octopus sinensis (East Asian common octopus). Its description in RNAcentral is "uncharacterized LOC115231318, transcript variant X1". The record is from RNAcentral. Lineage: Eukaryota; Metazoa; Mollusca; Cephalopoda; Octopoda; Octopodidae.
AUGUUUUUCUCCUUCUUACAGGAAUUAGAAUUGAGGAAAGAAUGGUUAGGUUCGGUGCCAAAACUGCAAAUUUGGACUUGUUCCACCCAAGCUGGCAGACUUUAUCAAAAUCGGCCGAUCACGCCUUCUCACUAAAAGAACUUCGCACUGAUGACCGCCGACUCCACCAGCGCCCCGGUCCCCUCAACUUACCCGUGGAACGGACCCUACCCGACCCCCUCAGCGAACGCAGAUAUUCCACCCACCUUGCUGAGCUCGAGCAUCUUCGCCGAUCCACGAUCCACCACCCGGAUGUCUCCCGGGUGGAACCAAACGGAUUUCAUCCACCCUCAGUUGUAGAACGGCUAUUAGGUGAUGGUUCUGCCCCUGCCAGAGGCAACUCCGUGGUCGUCUUCCUGGACAGGAAGAACCCAAAAGGAAACAGCUUGCAGUUGGGUUCCUUGACCGAUCGCAUGGAUCGUCCUCGACUCUUGGCACCGUCUCAUGAUCUACUUAAAGCUCAUCACCUAGCGACCAUUGACCAAAAUGUCAGCCGCACAAGGUUAAAACCAAUUCCACAAGAACUACCACCUGUUUCGCAACACAGCAUGACCGGUUCCGACAGAUGUAGUUUACCUGUCAUCCCUGAAACCCAGCAUCUUGACUAUCCAUCUCUCGACUCACGGUACCCGGUUGACCAACGACUACCAACUCUCGACUCGCGGUUACCCGUCAUGCUUCCAUCCUACCAAGGAAUCACAGACGUUCGGAUUCCGAACCCUCGUCUUGCAGAUCCCCGCUACCCUCCAGUUACCACUCAUUUGUUCCCCCCCACUCACAACAUGGCCUACCCAUCGAACAGUUCAAAUUUGUCCAUUCUUGAAGAGAGCCGUGCCAUUUCCACGCUGGCACUGCCCCCUACACACACUAACUAUCCAAUCAUUUCCCAUCGAGAGCUCUUUAAUUCCAUGGCCCCAACGAACACCAUAGCGUCCCCUUACCUCAGUAGCACGUCAUUUCUUUAUCCCCACCUCUACAGUUCCGCGCCACAGUACCAGAGCAGUUUCUACAUGCCGUCAAGCGAUGUACGAAAUUUUGACCUCUUAAGCCAAAGACCAGAAGUUCCGACCAGGAUUGAACGACCGGCUUUAUUAGCAUCGCCGGGUCGUCAACCGGCCGACACUGCUCCAUUAGUUGCUAAUAAAACGUUGAACAAGGAAGACAACUCAAAUGACAUCGAAAUGCGAAUCAGCCAACCAGAACAGUCUACCGAUGUGUUGAUGCGUGAAGAUCUUCGUGGUAGUACAUCGGAACAUGUCAGUCCACCCCCAGCACGACCAUCACAGAGUACCGACUCUUCUGACAAUGCAAUAUCAGUUUGGAGGCCUUACUAAACUAUUUGGUAAUUCUUACAAAUCUAAAAGUAUAUGUAAAGAGGCCUUAUAUAGAUAUAUGUGUGUAUGUAUGACUAUACAUAUAUAUAUAUAUAUAUAUAUAUAUAUAUAUAUAUAUAUAUAUAUAUAUAUAUAUAUAUAUAUAUAUACAGAGAUAAAAUAAACAAAAGGUUUUCCUCAUUUAAUCAUUAAUCAACACUCAUGAUUAACAACACUCACUCACUAAAGAUUAUUUCAACAAAAGAAAAAGAAGAAUUAACAAAAAAAAAAAAGAAAAAAAAAACUCACAAAGACCCCAAAAUUGUUUCCUUUCUUGUUGUUGUUGUGAUUUUAAUCCCUGUAAACUGAC